Molecule: ribosomal RNA, 256 nt
Filed under: uncultured bacterium
Lineage: Bacteria
Description: partial 16S ribosomal RNA
Rfam family: Bacterial small subunit ribosomal RNA
Source: RNAcentral
UACGAAGGGUGCAAGCGUUACUCGGAAUUACUGGGCGUAAAGCGUGCGUAGGUGGUUUGUUAAGUCUGUUGUGAAAGCCCCGGGCUCAACCUGGGAAUGGCAAUGGAUACUGGCAGGCUAGAGUGCGGUAGAGGGUAGUGGAAUUCCCGGUGUAGCGGUGAAAUGCGUAGAGAUCGGGGAGGAACACCAGUGGCGAAGGCGGCUACCUGGACCAGCACUGACACUGAGGCACGAAAGCGUGGGGGAGCAAACAGGG